GCCGGAAUGAGUAGCGAGAGGAAGGUGGGAAUCCUUCCGGCCGAAUAUCUAAGGUUUCCAGGGUAAAGCUGAUCUGCCCUGGGUAAGUCGGGGCCUAAGGCGAGGCCGAGAGGCGUAGUCGAUGGAUAACAGGUAGAGAUUCCUGUACUACGAUAUGACAGAACUGUGGGGACGCAGAAAGAGAGCGCGAGCCGGGAAUGGAAAGACCGGUGCAAGCGAGGUACCAGUCUGGCAGGCAAAUCCGCCAGGCAAUGGGAAGACGUGAUGCGGAGUGAACUAGAAGUAACGAAGCGCGUGAGCUGGCUGCCAAGAAAAGCCGCUAUUGUUCAUAUCGUACCCGUACCGUAAACCGACACAGGUGGAUGAGGAGAGAAUCCUAAGGCCGACGGGAGAAGCAUUGUUAAGGAACUCGGCAAAAUGACUCCGUAACUUCGGGAGAAGGAGUGCCAGUGAGAGCUGGCCGCAGAGAAUAGGCCCAAGCAACUGUUUAGCAAAAACACAGGUCUAUGCAAAACCGAAAGGUGAGGUAUAUGGGCUGACGCCUGCCCGGUGCUGGAAGGUUAAGGGGAGAGGUUAGCGCAAGCGAAGCUUUGAACUUAAGCCCCAGUAAACGGCGGCCGUAACUAUAACGGUCCUAAGGUAGCGAAAUUCCUUGUCGGGUAAGUUCCGACCCGCACGAAAGGCGUAAUGAUUUGGGCACUGUCUCGACAAUGCACCCGGUGAAAUUGAAGUACCAGUGAAGAUGCUGGUUACCUGCGCCAGGACGGAAAGACCCCAUGGAGCUUUACUCCAGCUUGAUACUGGGACUCGGUAUUGCAUGUACAGGAUAGGUGGGAGGCGAAGAAUUGGAGACGCCAGUCUCCAAGGAGCCGCUGUUGGGAUACCACCCUUGCGGUAUUGGGUUUCUAACCAGCAGCCGUGAACCGGCUGGGGGACAAUGUCAGGUGGGGAGUUUGACUGGGGCGGUCGCCUCCGAAAGGGUAUCGGAGGCGCUCAAAGGUUCCCUCAGAAUGGUCGGAAACCAUUCGAAGAGUGCAAAGGCAGAAGGGAGCUUGACUGCGACACCGACGGGUGGAGCAGGUACGAAAGUAGGACUUAGUGAUCCGGUGGUAUAAAGUGGGAUUGCCAUCGCUCAACGGAUAAAAGCUACCCUGGGGAUAACAGGCUUAUCACUCCCAAGAGUUCACAUCGACGGAGUGGUUUGGCACCUCGAUGUCGGCUCAUCGCAUCCUGGGGCUGAAGUAGGUCCCAAGGGUUGGGCUGUUCGCCCAUUAAAGCGGUACGCGAGCUGGGUUCAGAACGUCGUGAGACAGUUCGGUCCCUAUCCGGCGUGGGCGUAGGAUAUUUGAGAGGAGCUGUCCUUAGUACGAGAGGACCGGGAUGGACCGGCCGCUGGUGUACCUGUUGCAUUACCAAGUGCAUGGCAGGGUAGCCAAGCCGGGAAGGGAUAAACGCUGAAGGCAUCUAAGCGUGAAGCCCCCCUCAAGAUGAGAUAUCCCAUGCGAAAGCAGUAAGACCCCUUGAAGACGACGAGGUAGAUAGGGCAGAGGUGGAAGUGUGGCAACACAUGGAGCUGACUGUCACUAAUAGGUCGAGGGCAUAACCAAG
This 1608-nucleotide ribosomal RNA is filed under the name Drancourtella sp. An210. RNAcentral describes it as "bacterial LSU rRNA". It matches the Rfam family "Bacterial large subunit ribosomal RNA", at positions 1296 to 2925 of the family's 2925-position model. Lineage: Bacteria; Bacillati; Bacillota; Clostridia; Eubacteriales; Oscillospiraceae. The record is from RNAcentral.